CCCAGUUCUCUGCUCUGAGCUUUGUCUCCUCCAAGGGCAGGGCGCUGGUGUGAACUCUGAGGUCCGUCAGUCACUGCCGCAGCCCAGCUCUGAGGGGCUGUGGGGGGAGUGUUCUGAGACAGGUCGCUGCUGGUAGCCCCAGGCAGAUACAGAUGCAGACACAGACACAGAGAUGCUCCAGGACUCCCUCAGGGUCUCCCAGCUAGUCACUGUCAGCGUCUGGGGGCAGGGCACCAUGUCUCCCGCUGCCCAGUGCCCAGCUCACACCACCAGACGCCCUUUCCUCUCCCCCAAAUCUGUUCAGCCCAGACAGCUCCGGCUGCAUCCUGCAGCCUCUCUUGGGUGACCUGGACAUGCUGCAAACUGUGUUGUGCAGGAGUUUCUCUCCAAGGAGACCAAGGGAGAAGGUCACUGGAUUGGUCUCACUGACUGGGGGACAGAAGGCAGCUGGCGCUGGGUGGAUGGCACAGACUACAGAGCAGACGCAAGCAGGGGGUUCUGGUCGCAGAAUCAGCCAGACAACUGGGAUCAGGGGACAGAAGGCCGAGAAGACUGUGUUGAGACCCGCACAUUGGAGCUGAAGCGGUGGAAUGAUGCCAACUGCACUCUGCCUUCUAAGUGGAUUUGUAAGCAGGCCCAUGGACAGGCUGGGCUGUGACAUGCAGGUCCCAGCACCUCAGAAAGCGCCUUAAUUUACAAGCUAUGGAGCAUGUUUUCCAGACACCUGCCGAUGAGGAGCCCUGUGCACUGGAGGGGGGGCGCAUGGGAUGUGCAUCGCAGGGACGCUUUGUCUUGGUGUGAUAUUUGUGGCUAUAGCAGAGACAGCUGCCUUAUGCCGCUCAGUGUGGCUGGCUCUGUAAUUUGUAUGUUUCCUGGUCUGUCACUGAAUAAAGUCCUUGGCUCAUGGAGUUAUUGUUUCACAAUCACCCAAUAAAUAAUGAUUUGCUUGA
Malaclemys terrapin pileata is the source of this 950-nucleotide long non-coding RNA. RefSeq lists it as uncharacterized. The record is from RefSeq and is a predicted model, not a curated record. NCBI's taxonomy places the organism in Eukaryota, Metazoa, Chordata, Testudines, Emydidae. The transcript is spliced from 2 exons.